Non-coding RNA from Tricholoma furcatifolium, 100 nucleotides. The record is from the annotation of a GenBank genome assembly. Lineage: Eukaryota; Fungi; Basidiomycota; Agaricomycetes; Agaricales; Tricholomataceae.
UCGGGUAUGGUGUAAAGGCUAACAUUGCCGCCUCUCAUCCAAUGCACGGGUUCGUGCCAAAUUCACGCGGCAGCUCGGGGUUCGAUUCCCCGUACCCGAA